UGGCGGACGGGUGAGUAACGCGUAAAGAACUUGCCCUUUAGACUGGGAUAACAGAGGGAAACUUCUGAUAAUACUGGAUAAGUUAGUAUAUCGCAUGAUAUGCAAAUGAAAGCUACGGCACUAAAGGAGAGCUUUGCGUCCUAUUAGCUAGUUGGUAAGGUAAGAGCUUACCAAGGCGAUGAUAGGUAGCCGGCCUGAGAGGGUGGACGGCCACAAGGGGACUGAGAUACGGCCCAGACUCCUACGGGAGGCAGCAGAC
RNAcentral lists this ribosomal RNA (259 nucleotides) under uncultured Leptotrichia sp. RNAcentral's name for it is "partial 16S ribosomal RNA". It matches the Rfam family "Bacterial small subunit ribosomal RNA", at positions 96 to 354 of the family's 1533-position model. The record is from RNAcentral. Lineage: Bacteria; Fusobacteriati; Fusobacteriota; Fusobacteriia; Fusobacteriales; Leptotrichiaceae.